GCGUUUAGCUCAGUUGGUUAGAGCAUCUGCCUUACAAGCAGAGGGUCUGGGGUUCGAGUCCCUA
Molecule: transfer RNA, 64 nt
Filed under: bovine gut metagenome
Rfam family: tRNA
About the family: Transfer RNA (tRNA) molecules are approximately 80 nucleotides in length.
Source: RNAcentral